UUGCCCUUACUCAAUAUAUUACACUUCCUGCUUUCCCCAUGCACUCAACGUGUUUUGGAUCUUUGAGUGAGGGUCUGUGAGUUAUAAAUUCUCUUUAGUCUUUGACCCGCUGUAAGAUCUAAUUCUCUUGAACUAUACGUUAACUAGGCAAAGAAGUUCAGAUGAACAGGGUUUCUCCUCCGUUCAACUGGGAUAGCACUGUGCGUUCUCUGGCCUUUCAUGCCGCAGACAGGAAGUCUGCCACAAGCUUUUAACUUUAGGGGGUGUCUAACUGCCUUUUCAUUACACCAAAAGUGUAAAUUCCUUGUCACUGGUGUUGUGGGGUUGAUUUAUUGUUAUUCUAGCCUGCUUGGAACCUUGAAUAUAUGUACCUUGAAUAAACUUUGUACAUAUUUUAACAAUUAUUUCCCAAUACCUUACUUCACUGUCUGCGCUGUCUUUCUUCUAGCCCUGGGUUCUUGGGUAGCCUCUACCUUCCGUGACUUAUGUUUUUCAGUUCUCAGGGUGAAAAUGUUGAGGUCUGGAGCAUGCUGGGAGAUCAAAACAGGAUCAAUAGACCUUGCAUGUUACGGCUUCUGUGUACAGUUAAGACAGGAAAGCAAGCGCAGUAGAUGACUUUGAAAGGACCUGCUGGCAUUUGGGGCCAAGAAAACAUCACACUCUACUUCACACUAAAUUCCACCAAAUUCCUCUUGCCCAGAACCCAGUGGCCCACAUGGAAGAUCCCCAAAUUAACAACUUUGUGGAACCCAGGGUGUAGAUGAGCAGCUUCACAGGGCACGCGACCAAAACCGCCCCCGCAGGCCAAGCCCACCGUCGUAUUCUCCAAACCUGUAACAGAGCGGCUUGGCCACGAUGUUAAUCUGCAAUUAGCUGUUUUAAUCCCUAAAAUAGCUCUGCCACCCUUGUAUAGAGUCACGUAGGGAAAGAGAAAACCAGGGACCACCACAGCAAGGUCAGGGGGAGUUGGAAGCUCAGACCUCUGAGGGCCAACCUUCUAUUUGGAUUGUGUGUGGUUCCAGAUGAGGCUGUGAUUUCCCGGGAGCUGACAGCUGGGCUGACAGCUGCUUAACCUGAUUAGAUACGCCUCAGCCACAGACGCUGGGGCCACAGACAACUGCUCAUUUGAGAUGCAUGCCACUGGCACCCGCCUGCAAGAAUAAAGGCCGGCCUCAAACAGA
This is a non-coding RNA of Rattus norvegicus (Norway rat), 1181 nucleotides long. The record is from RefSeq and is a predicted model, not a curated record. NCBI's taxonomy places the organism in Eukaryota, Metazoa, Chordata, Mammalia, Rodentia, Muridae.